Molecule: unclassified non-coding RNA, 381 nt
Filed under: Bombus terrestris (buff-tailed bumblebee)
Lineage: Eukaryota; Metazoa; Arthropoda; Insecta; Hymenoptera; Apidae
Description: misc RNA ENSBTSG00005035380.1
Source: RNAcentral
AGCAAUGGAGAGAUAAAAAUUUGUUUUCGAACGCACGGCCGGAACUAAUUUAAUUCGGCGUACUUCGCGUCAUGCGAACGCGGCUUCAUUAAUAAUGCAGGACGCGUUAGCGCGACAAAAUGUAUAACCGAACGUAGGUGCGGCCUGUCAACGAUUGCGUCGGAAAUACAACACUGCCAACCCAUCAUUCGACCUGUUUGCAUCGACGAAAAGAAGCGAGACAAUACCGAUUCUUCUGACGCUUCGAACGCGCAGAUAUUCAAUCGCGUCAAAAUUAUCCGCCUUACUUCAACUGUAUAUGCUCGUAGCCUGUUACAGGAAGAUUUUUGGUCCUCUCAUUUCUAGUUUCUUACAAUAUAUAUAUUAUAUUUUUAUGCCUCC